This 518-nucleotide ribosomal RNA is filed under the name uncultured bacterium. Its description in RNAcentral is "bacterial SSU rRNA". It matches the Rfam family "Bacterial small subunit ribosomal RNA", at positions 1 to 525 of the family's 1533-position model. The record is from RNAcentral.
UAGAGUUUGAUCUGGCUCAGGACGAACCCUUGAAGCGUGCUUAAUACAUGCAAGUCAACUGAACUUAAGGUCGUAAUAUUUUAAGGGAGGUGGCGCACGGGUGAGUAACACGUAGGUAAUCUGCCUUUAGGUCUGACACAACCUACCGAAAGGUAGGCUAAUAUCAGAUGAUGCAGCGGCUCGACAUCGAGACAGUUGUUAAACCUUCGGGGCCUAAAGAUGAGCCUGCGUCUGAUUAGGUAGUUGGCGGAGUAAUAGCCCACCAAGCCUGCGAUCAGUAGCUGGUCUGAGAGGAUGAUCAGCCACACUGGAACUGAGACACGGUCCAGACUCCUACGGGAGGCAGCAGUAAGGAAUAUUGCUCAAUGGCCGAAAGGCUGAAGCAGCAACGCCGCGUGGAGGAUGAAAUACUUUUGUAUGUAAACUCCUGUAAGAAGGGAAAAAUAUGCAGUUUUUCUGCAUUGAUUGUACCUUCAGAGUAAGCCCCGGCUAACUACGUGCCAGCAGCCGCCGUAAUA